CCUACGGGUGGCAGCCGUGAGGAAUAUUGGUCAAUGGGCGCGAGCCUGAACCAGCCAAGUAGCGUGAAGGAUGACUGCCCUACGGGUUGUCAACUUCUUUUAUAAAGGAAUAAAGUGAGGCACGUGUGCCUUUUUGUAUGUACUUUAUGAAUAAGGAUCGGCUAACUCCGUGCCAGCAGCCGCGGUAAUACGGAGGCUCCGAGCGUUAGCCGGAUUUCUUGGGUGUAAAGGGAGCGUAGAUGGGUUGUUACGUCAGUUGUGAAAGUUUGCGGCUCAACCGGAAAAUUGCAAUUGAUACUGGCAGUCGUGAGUACAGUUGAGGUAGGCGGAAUUCGUGGUGUAGCGGUGAAAUGCUUAGAGAUCACGAAGAACUCCGAUUGCGAAGGCAGCGUACUAAACUGCCACUGACAUUGAUGCUCGAAAGUGUGGGUAUCAAACAGGAUUAGAUACCCUUGUAGUC
Molecule: ribosomal RNA, 460 nt
Filed under: uncultured bacterium
Lineage: Bacteria
Description: partial 16S ribosomal RNA
Rfam family: Bacterial small subunit ribosomal RNA
Source: RNAcentral